This 896-nucleotide ribosomal RNA is filed under the name uncultured Macrococcus sp. Its description in RNAcentral is "bacterial SSU rRNA". It matches the Rfam family "Bacterial small subunit ribosomal RNA", at positions 41 to 916 of the family's 1533-position model. Lineage: Bacteria; Bacillati; Bacillota; Bacilli; Caryophanales; Staphylococcaceae. The record is from RNAcentral.
GGCGUGCCUAAUACAUGCAAGUCGAGCGAACGGACGAGAGUGCUUGCACUCUCUGAUGUUAGCGGCGGACGGGUGAGUAACACGUGGGUAACCUACCUAUAAGACUGGGAUAACUUCGGGAAACCGGAGCUAAUACCGGAUAAUAUUUAGCUUCGCAUGAAGCAAUAGUGAAAGACGGUUCUGCUGUCACUUAUAGAUGGACCCGCGGUGUAUUAGCUAGUUGGUGAGGUAACGGCUCACCAAGGCAACGAUACAUAGCCGACCUGAGAGGGUGAUCGGCCACACUGGGACUGAGACACGGCCCAGACUCCUACGGGAGGCAGCAGUAGGGAAUCUUCCGCAAUGGACGAAAGUCUGACGGAGCAACGCCGCGUGAGUGAAGAAGGUUUUCGGAUCGUAAAACUCUGUUGUAAGGGAAGAACAAGUACGUUAGUAACUGAACGUACCUUGACGGUACCUUACCAGAAAGCCACGGCUAACUACGUGCCAGCAGCCGCGGUAAUACGUAGGUGGCAAGCGUUAUCCGGAAUUAUUGGGCGUAAAGCGCGCGUAGGCGGUCUCUUAAGUCUGAUGUGAAAGCCCCCGGCUCAACCGGGGAGGGUCAUUGGAAACUGGGAGACUUGAGUGCAGAAGAGGAGAGUGGAAUUCCAUGUGUAGCGGUGAAAUGCGCAGAGAUAUGGAGGAACACCAGUGGCGAAGGCGGCUCUCUGGUCUGUAACUGACGCUGAGGUGCGAAAGCGUGGGGAUCAAACAGGAUUAGAUACCCUGGUAGUCCACGCCGUAAACGAUGAGUGCUAAGUGUUGGGGGGUUUCCGCCCCUCAGUGCUGCAGCUAACGCAUUAAGCACUCCGCCUGGGGAGUACGGUCGCAAGACUGAAACUCAAAGGAAUUGACGG